GGGCUCACACAAGCGGUGGAGGAUGUGGCUUAAUUCGAGGCUACGCGAAGAACCUUAUCCUAGUCUUGACAUGCACGGAUUAACUCCCUGAAAGGGGAGCCACGCCCGCAAGGGUGGAACGUGCACAGGUGCUGCAUGGCUGUCGUCAGCUCGUGUCGUGAGAUGUCGGGUUAAGUCCCUUAACGAGCGAAACCCUUGUCGCUAGUUGCCAGCGAGUCAAGUCGGGGACUCUAGCGAGACUGCCGGUGUUAAACCGGAGGAAGGUGGGGAUGACGUCAAGUCCUCAUGGCCUUUAUGACUAGGGCCGCACACGUCCUACAAUGGCGUGCACAAAGGGAAGCAAAGCUGCGAGGCCAAGCAAAUCCCAAAAAUCACGCCCCAGUUCGGAUUGCAGGCUGCAACUCGCCUGCAUGAAGCCGGAAUCGCUAGUAAUCGCGGGUCAGCAUACCGCGGUGAAUGUGUUCCUGAGCCUU
RNAcentral lists this ribosomal RNA (473 nucleotides) under uncultured bacterium. RNAcentral describes it as "bacterial SSU rRNA". It matches the Rfam family "Bacterial small subunit ribosomal RNA", at positions 917 to 1382 of the family's 1533-position model. The record is from RNAcentral.